Nerophis ophidion (straightnose pipefish) is the source of this 2021-nucleotide long non-coding RNA. RefSeq lists it as uncharacterized. The record is from RefSeq and is a predicted model, not a curated record. The transcript has 2 exons. Lineage: Eukaryota; Metazoa; Chordata; Actinopteri; Syngnathiformes; Syngnathidae.
GUCAAGCGUGCUAACUGUCGUGAAAGCACAUCGACGCAGAAAGCCGCGAGCAGGACGCUAAUAAGUCAGUCUUAUUAUUUGUUCUCCAGUUUGAAAUAUUUACGUCGUAUAAAAUACAUCUUUGAUUCUUUAGUCAAGGAUAAACAUCGUCUGGAUGCGCUAGAAGCACUGUGCCGCUUCUCGUGCUAUCUUUGCUUGUUAGUUAGCUUAGCUCGCUAGUUAGCUUAGCUUGUUAGCUGCUAACAGAAGACACAGAAGUUAUCAACACAUCGCGAAGUAGAGAUCAAGUGUGAGAGUAAAGUGUUGUGAUUGUGUGAAAAUGUCUACAUUACAAAUGUUGAGAGCGUUGGUGGAUCAGCGACUAACUGCUGCCGUUGAAGAAAUAUUUGUAGUGUUAGAAAGAACGAUAGCAGAAUACAAGGCGGAACUUUCUAGAACAAAGGAGGAUUACAAUCAACUACUGGACGCUGUUUUCAAGAAACAUCAAUUGUGUUACACAGAACAGAACUCAAUGAAGCACAUCGUCCUCGUGAGCAGGAGUUGGAACCACAGUCCCCCCACAUACACGAGGAAGAAGAGGUACCACAUUUCCAACACAUCAAAGAAGGAGGAGAGGAGCCACAGCCCCCCCCCCCCACAUUAAAGAGGAAGACGAGGCGCCACAGACCCAUAAUGUUAAACUGACCCUUCACAUUAAAGGGCAAGCGGAGGACCCACUGAUCUUACACAUCAAAAAGGAAGAGGAGGACCCACUGAGCCCUCACAUUAAAGAGGAAGAGGAGGAAGAGGGCAUCAGUCAGCCUAAAUGGUUGGAGGAGUUCCCAGUGACUGGUGUCCCUGUGAAGAGUGAAGAUGAUGAGGUGAAAGUGAGGAGAGGGGAGGGGGGGAGCCUCCAAGCAGCAGCUCAACACAACACAUGACAACAGGAGCUGAUGGAGACCACUGUGGAGGAUCACAAGCAGACAAGCUCUUAGCUCCACUAUCAGAUAGUGAGGACACAACGUCACACUCUCCUGACACUGAUGAUGAAGACUCUAAAGAUGAUAAGACAUGUCACACUGACAACACUCACUUCACAUCUUCUCUCUGUCACAAAACCUUUAAAUACCAUUGUCGUCUCAAAAGACACAUGAGAACACACACUGGAGAAAAACCCUUUUCUUGUUCAAUCCGUGGUAAAGGUUUUACACAAAGUCAUGAUUUGAAAGUACACAUGAGAACACACACUGGUGAAAAACCUUUUUCUUGUUCAAUCUGUGGUAAAGGUUUUACACAAAGUCACGAUUUGAAAGUACACAUGAGAACACACACUGGUGAAAAACCUUUUUCUUGUUCAAUCUGUGGUAAAGGUUUUACACAAAGUCACGAUUUGAAAGUACACAUGAGAACACACACUGGUGAAAAACCUUUUACCUGUUCAAUCCGUGGUAAAGGUUUUACACAAAGUCACCAUUUGAAAGUGCACGUGAGAACACACACUGGAGAAAACCCUUUUUCUUGUUCAAUCUGUGGUAAAGGUUUUACUACAAGUCAGAAUUUGAAAGUACACACUAGAACACACACUGGAGAAAAAUCACAUUCCUGUUCAAUCUGCAACAGAAGCUUUUGUGAGCGAUCAAACCUUGUAGCACACAUGAGAAGACACCCAAGAGAGAAAGUGUUAAAAGUUUAAGUACCAAUGAUUGUCACACACACACACGGAGGACACAAAGUGUUUCCAACCUAGCAGUGAGACCUGGUCAGGUCUCACUGCUGAGACCAUCUUGCCUUCAAGCCAAGGUCAGCAUACAUGAUGUUCUAUAGCCCAGUGGUCCACAACCUUUUUGAAUCCGCCGACCACUCAACGCUUAAUAAUUUGUCCCGCGGCCCGGGGUCAGGGGGUCCUUUUUUUUUUUUCUUCUUUGUCAUGAAAAAAGGACGUUUUUGUCAUGAAAAAGGGAGGUUUUUGUGGUUGGUGCACUAAUUGUAAGUGUAUAUUGUGUUUUUUAUGUUGAUUUAAUAAAAAUAACAAAAAAACUUUC